GAGGGCGGGUCCCAGCAAAUUCCUCCGCAGUUUUGAGGCCGUCUCGUCUCUUCCUUUUGCUGACGGGAACCUGGGGCGGCACUUGUGAGAAGUAGAGUCCGGGGUGCUGGUUCUCACCGGCCGGUUUGAAGGCGCCUUCCUUCCAGAUGGACCACCAACUUGCCGAUGCUCCUUGGAGGCCACGGGAGACUUCUGGCAUACUGGACCUGAGAUCCUUUCUCUUCGCAGCUGUAAACCACAGAGGUGGCCCCCCUAGAACAGACAAGGAUCAGUAGUAUUGUUCCCAAAACUGAGACUGGAAUCACACACAAGUACACACAAAAAAUAUUAUGACUGAUUAAUAAUAACCUAAAAUAAAGGAAAUCAUAGAUUGUG
Molecule: non-coding RNA, 375 nt
Organism: Pantherophis guttatus
Lineage: Eukaryota; Metazoa; Chordata; Lepidosauria; Squamata; Colubridae
Source: RefSeq, a predicted model, not a curated record